This 255-nucleotide ribosomal RNA is filed under the name uncultured bacterium. RNAcentral describes it as "partial 16S ribosomal RNA". It matches the Rfam family "Bacterial small subunit ribosomal RNA", at positions 524 to 776 of the family's 1533-position model. The record is from RNAcentral.
UACGAAGGGGGCUAGCGUUGCUCGGAAUCACUGGGCGUAAAGGGUGCGUAGGCGGGUUUCUAAGUCAGAGGUGAAAGCCUGGAGCUCAACUCCAGAACUGCCUUUGAUACUGGAAGUCGUUGAGUAUGGCAGAGGUGAGUGGAACUGCGAGUGUAAGAGGUGAAAUUCGUAGAUAUUCGCAAGAACACCAGUGGCGAAGGCGGCUCACUGGGCCAUUACUGACGCUGAGGCACGAAAGCGUGGGGAGCAAACAGG